Molecule: long non-coding RNA, 320 nt
Filed under: Physcomitrium patens
Lineage: Eukaryota; Viridiplantae; Streptophyta; Bryopsida; Funariales; Funariaceae
Description: long non-coding RNA (PPAT_LNC003068)
Source: RNAcentral
AUCAAUAUCUUUAAAAAAUGAAUUAAUAUCUAUUCUACAUAGCCCCAGUCCUAUCUAUGUAGCAUCCUCGCAAACACUCAAUUGAUACCUAUCUAAAAAAUUAUCUUACAAAACUCUACAAAAAUUAUGAUCCCUCUGGCCUACCUAAUUAAUCAAUUACCACAGUAUCUGUUAUUGGUUCCACCGAUUCUAGUUCCAACUACAAAUCUUUGUCUUCUUUCAAUCCUUCCAUUGGCUCCUGCCUCAACUCAGCUGAAAGAUCUUCAUUGUACUCGCCCAGUUCACGGACUUGAGCUUCCAAUUUCAAGAUCUCCACAUUU